Molecule: ribosomal RNA, 252 nt
Filed under: uncultured bacterium
Lineage: Bacteria
Description: partial 16S ribosomal RNA
Rfam family: Bacterial small subunit ribosomal RNA
Source: RNAcentral
UACGGAGGAUGCGAGCGUUAUCCGGAUUUAUUGGGUUUAAAGGGUGCGUAGGCGGUCCGUUAAGUCAGCGGUAAAGUUGCGGGGCUCAACCCCGUCGAGCCGUUGAAACUGGCAGACUUGAGUUGGCGAGAAGUACGCGGAAUGCGCGGUGUAGCGGUGAAAUGCAUAGAUAUCGCGCAGAACUCCGAUUGCGAAGGCAGCGUACCGGCGCCAGACUGACGCUGAGGCACGAAAGCGUGGGGAUCGAACAGG